This 253-nucleotide ribosomal RNA is filed under the name uncultured bacterium. RNAcentral's name for it is "partial 16S ribosomal RNA". It matches the Rfam family "Bacterial small subunit ribosomal RNA", at positions 524 to 776 of the family's 1533-position model. The record is from RNAcentral.
UACGAAGGGGGCUAGCGUUGCUCGGAAUUACUGGGCGUAAAGCGCACGUAGGCGGCUUUCUAAGUCGGGGGUGAAAUCCUGGAGCUCAACUCCAGAACUGCCUUCGAUACUGGAGAGCUCGAGUCCGGGAGAGGUGAGUGGAACUGCGAGUGUAGAGGUGAAAUUCGUAGAUAUCCGCAAGAACACCAGUGGCGAAGGCGGCUCACUGGCCCGGUACUGACGCUGAGGUGCGAAAGCGUGGGGAGCAAACAGG